CGGGGAGUAGCGCAGCCUGGUAGCGCAUCUGCUUUGGGAGCAGAGGGUCGCAGGUUCGAAUCCUGUCUCCCCGA
This is a transfer RNA of 74 nucleotides. It matches the Rfam family "tRNA". Rfam says of the family: Transfer RNA (tRNA) molecules are approximately 80 nucleotides in length. Their secondary structure includes four short double-helical elements and three loops (D, anti-codon, and T loops). The record is from Rfam.